This 265-nucleotide unclassified non-coding RNA is filed under the name Hevea brasiliensis (rubber tree). The record is from RNAcentral. Lineage: Eukaryota; Viridiplantae; Streptophyta; Magnoliopsida; Malpighiales; Euphorbiaceae.
AAUUUUUGCAGUGUAAUUUUGUAAAUUACAUCUAGUGAUUAAUUUUUGUUUGUAGCAGAUUCUUAAGAGUGGAGAUAACUAUAGCCAAAUAGACUUUUCCCUUACUAGAAGAGAGGACAAAGCUCAUUGUAAGAAUUGCAAUGUUAUCCUUGGUGAGGUUCUAGCUAAUCAGCACAAGCUAAUGGUUUUAGAUGUGAUGGUAAAGAGCGAAGUGAAGAAGGAAAGAGAUUUAUUCAACCUAAAACUUGAUGGUGGAACCUAAAAG